CUUUGUCUGACUGAAGCUGUGUGCGC
RNAcentral lists this non-coding RNA (26 nucleotides) under Rattus norvegicus (Norway rat). Lineage: Eukaryota; Metazoa; Chordata; Mammalia; Rodentia; Muridae. The record is from RNAcentral.